CACGUAGGGGGCGAGCGUUGUCCGGAUUUAUUGGGCGGAAAGAGCUCGUAGGCGGCUCAGUAAGUCAGGUGUGAAAACUCCAGGCUCAACCUGGAGACGCCACCUGAUACUGCUGUGGCUAGAGUCCGGUAGGGGAGCAUGGAAUUCCUGGUGUAGCGGUGAAAUGCGCAGAUAUCAGGAGGAACACCAGUGGCGAAGGCGGUGCUCUGGGCCGGAACUGACGCUGAGGAGCGAAAGCGUGGGGAGCAAACAGG
This 254-nucleotide ribosomal RNA is filed under the name uncultured bacterium. RNAcentral's name for it is "partial 16S ribosomal RNA". It matches the Rfam family "Bacterial small subunit ribosomal RNA", at positions 524 to 776 of the family's 1533-position model. The record is from RNAcentral.